UCUCUAGGGCCAGGCUUACAAUGCGAAGAAAAACAUCCUUUAUGUUGCAGAUACUGAAAACCAUGCUUUGAGGGAGAUUGAUUUUGUUAAUGAAAAGGUGCAAACUCUUGCUGGAAAUGGAACCAAAGGCUCUGACUACCAAGGGGGAGAUAAGGGAAGCUCUCAGCUCCUCAAUUUUCCAUGGGAUGUCUGUUUUGAGCUAGUAAACGAGAAGGUUUACAUUGCAAUGGGUGGCCAACAUCAGAUAUGGGAACACAAUACAGUUGAUGGAGUUACCAAAAGCUUUUAGUGGCGAUGGUUAUGAAAGGAACUUGAAUGGAUCAAGCUCUACAACCACUUCGCUUGCACAACCGUCCAGAAUUUCAUUAUCUCCUGAAAUUUAUGUUGUGGAUAGUGAGAGUAGCUUCAUAUGAGCACUCAGUCAAAAAACAGGAGGAUCAAGAUUGCUAGUUGGUUGUGAUCCUUUUUUGUCAGACAAUUUGUUCAAGUUUGGAGACCAUGAUGGAACAGGAUCUGAAGUUCUUCAUCAA
Molecule: long non-coding RNA, 530 nt
Organism: Pistacia vera
Lineage: Eukaryota; Viridiplantae; Streptophyta; Magnoliopsida; Sapindales; Anacardiaceae
Exons: 6
Source: RefSeq, a predicted model, not a curated record